RNAcentral lists this ribosomal RNA (497 nucleotides) under uncultured bacterium. RNAcentral's name for it is "partial 16S ribosomal RNA". It matches the Rfam family "Bacterial small subunit ribosomal RNA", at positions 28 to 507 of the family's 1533-position model. The record is from RNAcentral.
GAUGAACGCUGGCGGCGUGCCUAAUACAUGCAAGUCGAGCGAACGGACGCGAAGCUUGCUUCUCUGAUGUUAGCGGCGGACGGGUGAGUAACACGUGGAUAACCUACCUAUAAGACUGGGAUAACUUCGGGAAACCGGAGCUAAUACCGGAUAAUAUUUUGAACCGCAUUGUUCAAAAGUGAAAGACGGUCUUGCUGUCACUUAUACAUGGAUCCGCGCUGCAUUAGCUAGUUGUUAAGGUAACGGCUUACCAAGGCAACGAUGCAUAGCCGACCUGAGAGGGUGAGCGGCCACACUGGAACUGAGACACGGUCCAGACUCCUACGGGAGGCAGCAGUAGGGAAUGUUACGCAAUGGGCGAAAGCCUGACGGAGCAACGCCGCGUGAGUGAUGAAGGUAUGCGGAUCGUAAAACUCUGUUAUUAGGGAAGAACAUAUGUGUAAGUAACUGUGAACAUAUUGACGGUACCUAAUCAGAAAGCCACGGCUAACUACGUG